Drosophila gunungcola (fruit fly) is the source of this 2011-nucleotide long non-coding RNA. RefSeq lists it as uncharacterized. The transcript is spliced from 4 exons. The record is from RefSeq and is a predicted model, not a curated record. NCBI's taxonomy places the organism in Eukaryota, Metazoa, Arthropoda, Insecta, Diptera, Drosophilidae.
CCCCCUCACGUCGCAGCAGCAGCGCGAGGAGCCAGCCAUCCGGCUAAAAGGAAGACAACUAAUUAAUUCGACAGGCAUCCGGCUACGGAUGUGAAUAUACCUAAUUGGCGCUCAGCUAGUGGUAUCUAACUACCCUACCGGACAGAUCAAUAUCAACUUGAAAGUUGAAAAGUGACAGCGUCGCGGGAAAAAACGCAGCUGUCAGAUAUAAUAACCAGUGUAAAAAUAAAAGCAGUGAUGGAAACUGAUCAACAAAAGUGUUGAACAACUCGUUUGGAAAUCAGCUGUGUUGCCCGAAAUAACUCAAAGGUUGUUGCUUUGAUUUAAACAAUGUUUGUGCAACUUUUGACCAAAAACAAGUUGAGAAGACAACAAUUGUUUGACAUUAAACGCAAUAACCGAAAUUUAAGAUGCAAUGCUAACACUUUAAAUUUGCCAGAUCGCCAGUAAGUAACCAUUAUUUUGAAAUUACUUUAAUAACUGAAAGUUUUGCAGGUUUUUUCAAUCUUACCGGAUUGACAAAAGAUAUAUUUAUUUUCCUUAUUGGAAAAAUUGGACCCGACUUAGGCCAACCCUUGAUUGCCCAUGUUACCCAGCUUGCUGCAGUCCUUCGUUUCCUGGCACCCGGGUCGUACAUUUUGUGUUUUAAAUGUUGUGCGUGAAUCAGCUGCUUGGCACCAAUGUUGCAAACUUUUUACAAGUAGUGUUGGGAACCAAAGUUGCCAAAGACGAUGAAAAAGGUCCCAAAAAUGCACAAAAGGGUAUUAUAAUUUCAGUCAGAAGUUUUCAACGCGGUGAAGAAGACAUCUCCGACCCUAUAGAGUAUAUAUAUUCCUGAUCAGCAUCACUAGGUAGCAUAAAAGUCGGAACGAGCCGGAUCGGUCGACUAAAUUAUAAAGCGCCCAUAGAAACAACUAGAAAAUAAAUGAAAAAAAUGUAACUUUGCAGUUUUUAUACCCUUGCAGAGGGUAUUAUAAUUUCAGUCAGAAGUUUGCAACGCAGUGAAGGAGACAUCUCCGACCCUAUAAUGUAUAUAUACUCGUGAUCAGCAUCACUAGGAGAGUCGAUCUAGCCAUGUCCGUCUGUCCGUCCGUCCGUCCGUUUCUACGCAAACUAGUCCCUCAGUUUUAAAGCUAUCUGCAUGAAACUUUCCCAAAAGUUGUCUUUCUUUUGCAUAAGUAUAUAAGUCGGAACGAGCCAGAUUGGACGACUAUAGCAUAUAGCUCCCAUAGGAAUAGUCGGAAAAUCGGAUGAAAAUAUCAUAUCACCCAUGGCAACAAUAAAAAUAUAAAAAAUUCGUUUUUAGAUGUAAUUUUUCUAUUUUGUUUUUUUUUAUACCCUCGUAGAAGGUAUUAUAAUUUUAGUCAGAAGUUUGCAACGCAGUGAAGGAGACAUGUCCGACCCAUUAAUGUAUAUAUAUUCUUGAUCAGCAUCACUAGGAGAGUCGAUCUAGUCAUGUCCGUCUGUCCGACUGUCCGACUGUCCGUCUGUGUUAAACUUUCCCAAAAGUUGUCUUCCUUCUGCAGGUAGCAUAAAAGUCGGAACGAGCCGGAUCGGUCGACUAAGUCAUAUAGCGCCCAUAGAAAAAAUUAGAAAUGAAAAAAAUUCUAACUUUGCAGUUUUUUAUAUUUUUUUUAAUUCUUCGACAAAUAGUUAUAAUUUAUUUUUUGAAAAUUACGAUUUUAAUUUUAAUAAAUCGGAGACUAUAAAAUAAAGCUCUCAUGCGAACAACCAAACAAUAAUAAAAAAAUGUAACUUUUCUAUUUGUAUACCCUUGCAGAGGGUAUUAUAAUUUCAGUCAGAAGUUUGCAACGCAGUGAAGGAGACAUGUCCGACCCAUUAAAGUAUAUAAGUUAACUGUGGCCAGCAAAACCAAAGUUGUUGACCACAGUUUACGUAAACAUCGCGCCGGCCAAACUGCUGACACAGCGUCUGGCCGGAUGCUCGUGCAUAGCCGGCAAGCACUGCCCAUUGGAGUGGCCGCUAUGAAGUUCAAUUAUGUUAGCUUUAA